This 343-nucleotide unclassified non-coding RNA is filed under the name soil metagenome. RNAcentral describes it as "partial contains 5.8S ribosomal RNA, internal transcribed spacer 2, and large subunit ribosomal RNA". The stretch from base 1 to 120 matches the Rfam family "5.8S ribosomal RNA", at positions 35 to 154 of the family's 154-position model. The record is from RNAcentral.
GAUGAAGAACGCAGCGAAAUGCGAUAAGUAAUGUGAAUUGCAGAAUUCAGUGAAUCAUCGAAUCUUUGAACGCACAUUGCGCCCGCUAGUAUUCUGGCGGGCAUGCCUGUCCGAGCGUCAUUUCAACCCUCAAGCCCCCGGGCUUGGUGUUGGGGAUCGGCGAGCCUCCGCGCCCGCCGUCUCCUAAAUUUAGUGGCGGUCUCGCUGUAGCUUCCUCUGCGUAGUAGCACACCUCGCACUGGGAAACAGCGCGGCCACGCCGUUAAACCCCCAACUUCUGAACGUUUGACCUCGGAUCAGGUAGGAAUACCCGCUGAACUUAAGCAUAUCAAUAAGCGGAGGA